This 28-nucleotide non-coding RNA is filed under the name Mus musculus (house mouse). The record is from RNAcentral. Lineage: Eukaryota; Metazoa; Chordata; Mammalia; Rodentia; Muridae.
UGAUGUGCACACCUACGAAUGCUUAUCC